CAGUCGCCGCGGGAAUACGGAGGGAGCUAGCGUUGUUCGGAAUCACUGGGCGUAAAGCGCACGUAGGCGGCUAUUCAAGUCAGGGGUGAAAGCCCGGGGCUCAACCCCGGAACUGCCUUUGAAACUAGAUAGCUUGAAUCUUGGAGAGGCGAGUGGAAUUCCGAGUGUAGAGGUGAAAUUCGUAGAUAUUCGGAAGAACACCAGUAGCGAAGGCGACUCGCCGGACAAGUAUUGACGCUGAGGUGCGAAAGCGUGGGGAGCAAACAGGAUUAGAUACCCCUGUAGUCCCUGUCUCUUAUAC
RNAcentral lists this ribosomal RNA (301 nucleotides) under uncultured bacterium. RNAcentral's name for it is "partial 16S ribosomal RNA". It matches the Rfam family "Bacterial small subunit ribosomal RNA", at positions 509 to 807 of the family's 1533-position model. The record is from RNAcentral.